UCAAUUUUUUGAGGCAACUGGGUUGAAAAAUAAUUUGCUCAUGCCAAAGCUUGUCCAACCUUCAGUGUAAUAGUGUAAUUUUAUUCUACUCGCUGGACUUUGAGUGUUGCUCGCUUUUGCGCUGAAGCAAAACUAUCUAUAUUUAUAUGGAUAAUUGAACAUUGGAUCUCAAAUCAGGCAAGGUUACCCGCUGAACUUAA
This 200-nucleotide unclassified non-coding RNA is filed under the name soil metagenome. RNAcentral describes it as "partial contains internal transcribed spacer 2 and large subunit ribosomal RNA". The record is from RNAcentral.